Cucurbita maxima (winter squash) is the source of this 1962-nucleotide RNA transcript. It is a transcript of the gene named CMP-sialic acid transporter 3-like, with no coding region annotated. The transcript has 18 exons. The record is from RefSeq and is a predicted model, not a curated record. NCBI's taxonomy places the organism in Eukaryota, Viridiplantae, Streptophyta, Magnoliopsida, Cucurbitales, Cucurbitaceae.
AGAGAGAGAGAGAGAUAGAGAGACAGAGAGAGACAAACAGAGCUCUAACAACAAACGUUUCGCGCGAUCUCUCUCUCUGCGAAAUGUGCAUAUUGCUUCAUCCUCGCAUGUGUCAGCAAUUCGAAUUCCAUAUAAGUCGCUGAAGUGUUGGAUCUAGCCAACGAGUUUUUCCGUCGGUGGAAUUUUCGGCGAGCUAAUUCUUCCUUGAAUGCUCGGUUCUGGAGGCGGGAGGCGUCUAGAACAGGUCUGUUGGAUUUCAUCUCAUUACGCAGAGUUGGUCGUGCUUUUUUGAUAUAGUCAGUCUGAGCAAGCAUAGUUUUGCAGUAGGCUGAUGAAGAACGGAAUGAUAGAAUGCUGUGUUUGUCACUCCCCAUUGGUUUCUCCAACUAACAAAGGUAUAUCGAGGGCAUAUGAUCAACAUAAGAUCAGAAUAUCAUCUAAGCAACGAGCCUUAAACACCCUCUUGGUUGUAGGUGAUUGUAUCUUGGUUGGUAUGCAGCCUAUUUUGGUUUAUAUGUCCAAGGUGGAUGGGAAAUUCAUGUUCAGUCCAAUCAGUGUCAACUUUUUGACCGAGAUUACAAAGGUUAUCUUUGCUAUUGUUAUGCUGAUAAUCCAGGCUAGACAUCAGAAAGUUGGGGAAAAGCCUCUUCUCUCAAUAUCAACAUUUAUGCAGGCAGCACGUAACAAUGUGCUUCUCGCUGUGCCAGCACUUCUCUAUGCAAUCAAUAAUUACCUGAAGUUUAUCAUGCAGCUAUCUUUCAACCCUGCAACUGUGAAGAUGCUUAGCAAUUUAAAGGUUUUGGUGAUUGCUGUCUUGCUAAAGUUGAUUAUGAGACGACAUUUUUCUAUUAUUCAGUGGGAAGCACUUGCUCUGCUGCUUAUUGGCAUAAGUGUAAAUCAGUUGCGGUCCAUGCCUGAUACCUCCACUUUGGGUCUCACAGUUACCAUGAGCACAUAUGUCUGCACACUGAUUUUUGUAACUGUUCCAUCUCUAGCUUCUGUUUAUAACGAAUAUGCUUUGAAGAGCCAGUAUGAUACUAGCAUCUAUCUUCAGAAUUUGUUUUUAUAUGGAUAUGGCGCGAUAUUCAACUUCAUGGGAAUAUUAGGAACAGUUCUUAUGAAAGGUCCUAGCAGCUUUGAUAUACUCCAAGGUCAUUCUAAAGCCACAAUGCUGCUUAUAGCUAAUAAUGCAGCACAAGGAAUUCUAUCCUCUUUCUUCUUCAAAUAUGCAGAUACAAUUCUGAAGAAGUACUCCUCAACAGUUGCUACCAUAUUUACAGGCAUAGCGUCAGCCAUCAUGUUUGGUCAUCAGUUGACUAUGAACUUUGUCUUGGGAAUAUCUAUAGUGUUCAUCUCUAUGCACCAGUUCUUCUCACCCCUCUCAAAAGUCAAAGACGAGCAGAAUGGGGUUACUGAAAUGGUGGAUGUGGAUAACCAGAGGUCAAAGGGUUCCUUCGUAAAUAUGGCAGCAGGAGCAAAUGAAGAGGCUAGUCAUCUUGUUGAAUCUGAUGAGAGAAAGCCACUUCUUCCAACCUAAGCUUUUUGUGGACAUGUUAGCAAAAAAGGAGCUCCAAAUUCACCAGAUAGUUAAGUUUGGUGAUUCCAUAAUCUAUCUACUCUGGUCACAAUAGAGUCAGUACACACUAGAUAUGACCUCUUGGCUGAUCAAGGAUUUUGUACAUCGGACCAUACGAAGACAACGACGACGACGGGUCUCAACCUUUAUCAAUAAAUUUUUUUUUGAUGAGGCCCUCCAAGGUUGCAAUAGAGCGUUGCUCAGAUUGGUUUGGAAAUGAAAAUUUUGUUGCUACAGAUUAGAUUAGGUAAUAAUAAUAUGGGUAUUAUCAUAUACCAAGGUCUAUAUAGCUCUUACCUUCUUUUCAAGUUGUGGUUUUAGUAGCAUGUAUUAUUAUUCUUUACCUCAGACUGAUUAUAACGAAUAUUUUUUCUCUUUCCUUCCAA